Molecule: ribosomal RNA, 484 nt
Filed under: uncultured bacterium
Lineage: Bacteria
Description: partial 16S ribosomal RNA
Rfam family: Bacterial small subunit ribosomal RNA
Source: RNAcentral
AGUGAACGCUGGCGGCGUGCUUAACACAUGCAAGUCGAACGAGAACGGGUUAUAGCUUGCUAUAAUUGUCAGCUAAGUGGCGCACGGGUGAGUAAUGUAUAGGUAAUAUGCCUCUUACUCAGGGAUAACAAAUGGAAACGUUUGCUAAUACCUUAUACUCCUUAUUAACAUAAGUUAAUAAGGGAAAGAUUUAUUGGUAAGAGAUUAGCCUGUAUUGUAUCAGUUAGUUGGUGGGGUAAUGGCUUACCAAGACUAUGACACAUAACUGGUUUGAGAGGAUGAUCAGUCACACUGGAACUGAGACACGGUCCAGACUCCUACGGGAGGCAGCAGUGGGGAAUACUGCACAAUGGACGAAAGUCUGAUGCAGCAACGCCGCGUGGAGGAUGACACAUUUCGGUGCGUAAACUCCUUUUAUAUGAGAAGAUGAUGACGGUAUUAUAUGAAUAAGCACCGGCUAACUCCGUGCCAGCCGCCGCCGUAA